CUCAGAUUCAUUUGAGCGUGUUGAGCUGUAGACGAAUGGUGGACCCAAAUAGCUUCGUCAGAUAGGAUGCCCCGUCUCCAUGUUUCCGAGUCGACAGGACAGUUUGAAGUAGGCAGAGAAACUGCGUUCCUCUGUGGACCCGUUCGCCCGGUGAGCGAGCCAGCGGGAGUCAGGGAUGAUAUCUCGUUUGGCACCGGCACCGAAUAUUUUCAUGAGCAGGCUGUUAGGCACCUCAAGUACCCUUUCUGGGACUCUCUGUCCAGUCUCGCAGCUUUGCGUGGAUUGUACCCAAACCACAACAUCUGGAGACGCUGGACAAGAAUGGGGCAAAAAAUGUGAUCUGUAAAGUAAGGUCCUCUGAGUCACUACAGAGCCCGCUGGAUUGAUGGCAAAUUGGCACGAAUGCAAGAUCUGACUCAACGAAUGUACUGGGUGAAAAGAAGAAGGGAUUCUCUCUGCGGACGCAUUUAUAGAACCUCAUGUCACAUUGGUGGUUCUCAGCUUUUAAGUGAUUGCACGUAUAAUAAGACGAGCAAGAGGAACGAUACAUACCUGUGGCAGUUUAAUAAAUCCACCAAAAUCUAAGCUCAUAUUCAAUUUAUAGUGACAGCAACAUGACUGCCAGGUACAUGUCCUUCUCACUGCUUCUUGUUUAGUUUCCUUCUUGUCUCUCUAUGGAAACCUAGAAUUAACCAAGAUGUUACAAAUCCUCUGUUCUAGAGAAGCAGCUAGAAACAUAUUAACUGGAUAAUAUGUGUUGCAAACAUGCACAAUAAAAAUGUUGGCAGGGAGUUUAAUCAGUCCAAUGUAUGUGCAGUUGCAAUGUAUCAUGAACUUUAUUGCUUAGUUUCUGCGGUGGGACUGACUACUCAUCACAUAAUGUAAAUGUAGAGAGAACGAUAUAGUAACUUUAAAAUGCUUGCUUAAAAUGCUCAAGUUACAGAUGUAUCAUACAUUCUUGGGAGUAAGAUCAUAUUUCUCAUACAACUCUUGGCAAGAAGGCUUACGUCUUCAAAAAUAUCUAAAUUUCAUUGAAUCCCAAUUUCAAUUCGUUGUAUUGAGAAUGAGAAAUGAUGCCCUAACAACAACAUUCAGUGGGAACAUUGUAUAGGGCAAUCAUUUCUAAAUUGACAUGUGUCAAGCAGCUGUUCAUAAAACCCAAACCAAAAACCCACAACUAAGAAAGGGUUUUGUACGAAACAAUUGGAAAAGAACUUAAACAUGAUGUUCAUUAGAAUCCCAGCAAGUUUGACAAUGAAAAAAAAGUUAAUUGAGUUGUGAAAAUCCUGACUAAUUGAAAAUUUAAAGGUGUGUGUGUGUGUGUGUGUGUGUGUGUGUGUGUGUGUGUGUGUGUGUGUGUGUGUGUGUGUGUGUGUGUGUGUGUGUGUGCGUGUGUGUGUGUGUGGUCUGCACCUCAAGAGGUGAAGAGUGCAAUGAGGCUGAAUGGUGAAUAUAUUAAUGUUGUGUUAUAACACCUUUUAGUGUCCAUCAACUUCUACCUGAGGAAUUCAAGAGUCUGCACAGCAUGUACAAGCACACACUUUAUGUUUCCAGCUACUGAAAGCGAGAAAAUGUAUUCUGUGCAACAAUCUGAAUGGAGCCAAGAACAAUGAAGCAGGGGUUGAGCUUUUAAGCCUGGUCUUUAUUUGAAAACAUCGUCUAUGUGCUGAGAACAUGAUCAAGUCCUUUAUUCCUGGCACGUAAAUGCUCUUUCUUUAUCUCUUUCUCUUUGUCUUUUGUUGUUUCAUCCAUCUUUUGGUCUUUUUCCCCCAUCCCCACCAGGCUCUCUGUUUAAUCAGAUUUGCUUCACCCCGUCUUGGUUUCCAGCAGUCGAUAUUUUAUUUGUGUUUUGAAAAUACCAAAAAUACAUUUCCUGAGAAACGAUCAGUUGCUCAAUAGAAACUAUGUAGUAGAAGUAUUUGCUCUGAAACUGGAUGAAAUGAG
This is a long non-coding RNA of Gasterosteus aculeatus aculeatus (three-spined stickleback), 1944 nucleotides long. Lineage: Eukaryota; Metazoa; Chordata; Actinopteri; Perciformes; Gasterosteidae. The record is from Ensembl.